RNAcentral lists this ribosomal RNA (607 nucleotides) under Vishniacozyma victoriae. RNAcentral describes it as "eukaryotic LSU rRNA". The stretch from base 103 to 256 matches the Rfam family "5.8S ribosomal RNA". The record is from RNAcentral. Lineage: Eukaryota; Fungi; Basidiomycota; Tremellomycetes; Tremellales; Bulleribasidiaceae.
UGAGUGCCUUCUCUUCGGAGUUGGCCAUCCAUACACACCGUGAACUGUGGCUUCGGCCAUCACAAACUGUUAGUAAUGAAUGUAAUAUCAUAACAAAAACAAAACUUUUAACAACGGAUCUCUUGGCUCUCGCAUCGAUGAAGAACGCAGCGAAAUGCGAUAAGUAAUGUGAAUUGCAGAAUUCAGUGAAUCAUCGAAUCUUUGAACGCACCUUGCGCCCUUUGGUAUUCCGAAGGGCAUGCCUGUUUGAGUGUCAUGAAACCUCACCCCACUUGGGUUUUUGCCUGAGCGGUGGUGUAUUGGGUGUUGCCUUGCCAAAGGCUCGCCUUAAAAACAUAAGCACCUUGGAUGUAAUACGUUUCAUCCUUCUGGGUGGCUGAUAACCCCACAUAUUCAUGAUCUGGCCUCAAAUCAGGUAGGGCUACCCGCUGAACUUAAGCAUAUCAAUAAGCGGAGGAAAAGAAACUAACUAGGAUUCCCUUAGUAACGGCGAGUGAACCGGGAUGAGCUCAAAUUUGAAAUCUGGCGUCUUUCAGGCGUCCGAGUUGUAAUCUAUAGAGGCGUUUUCCGCGCCGGACCGCGUCCAAGUCUCUUGGAAUAGAGUAUC